UGGGGAAUCUUGCGCAAUGGGCGAAAGCCUGACGCAGCGACGCCGCGUGAGUGAUGAAGGCCUUCGGGUUGUAAAGCUCUGUGGGGAGAGACGAAUAAGUGCAAGCUAAUACCUUGCAUGAUGACGGUAUCUCCUUAGCAAGCACCGGCUAACUCUGUGCCAGCAGCCGCGGUAAGACAGAGGGUGCAAACGUUGUUCGGAAUUACUGGGCGUAAAGCGAGUGUAGGCGGUUUCCUAAUUCAGGUGUGAAAGCCCCGGGCUCAACCCGGGAAGUGCACUGGAAACUGGGAGGCUAGAGUACUGGAGAGGUUGGUGGAAUUCUCGGUGUAGAGGUGAAAUUCGUAGAUAUCGAGAGGAACACCGGUGGCGAAGGCGGCCAACUGGACAGAUACUGACGCUGAGACUCGAAAGCGUGGGGAGCAAACA
This 426-nucleotide ribosomal RNA is filed under the name uncultured bacterium. RNAcentral's name for it is "bacterial SSU rRNA". It matches the Rfam family "Bacterial small subunit ribosomal RNA", at positions 355 to 774 of the family's 1533-position model. The record is from RNAcentral.